RNA transcript from Odobenus rosmarus divergens (Pacific walrus), 443 nucleotides. RefSeq lists it as uncharacterized. The transcript has 3 exons. The record is from RefSeq and is a predicted model, not a curated record. NCBI's taxonomy places the organism in Eukaryota, Metazoa, Chordata, Mammalia, Carnivora, Odobenidae.
GGACAAGAGACUUCCAGACGGAAUGGAGGGAUGAUUUGGGUAACAUCUGAAACGCAGUCGCACAUCAACAAGCAAACGGGCUCCCAGGACGUGGUGGCGGCCUCUGUGGACUCGGUGUUGCUGAUGGCGACUGAGAGGAACCGGUGGGAGCGCCUCCCGAGCCCGCUGCUGCAGCCGAGAUUGUGGGACUGCACAUCACACUGGCUUCUUACUCCACCUGUCAGGCCACCCAGAGUUUGAGGCUGGAAGUCACACACACACAAUCGUUCAGCAACACAAUGAUCAAUUUCCCCUCUGAGGGCUUCAGCUGGAGAAAUUUUCUGCUGGGAAGCUCUAGGUUUCAUCCUCAAGGAGAAAGCUGGGACCAGUGCUUUCAAAAUUCAGACAUGACAUAAGGUUGGGUUGCUUUCUGCCUUAAUGUCAAUCAAUAUGUUGGAAGUUAU